This 528-nucleotide ribosomal RNA is filed under the name Triticum aestivum (bread wheat). RNAcentral describes it as "partial small subunit ribosomal RNA". The record is from RNAcentral. Lineage: Eukaryota; Viridiplantae; Streptophyta; Magnoliopsida; Poales; Poaceae.
AUGAAGAGGAUCAUGCCUUUCUGUUGGAAUUGCUUUUCUGGUUUAAGCAAUCAUUCAGACCAGCAAGCGAUUGUUAAUGAAAGGUUUGAUUUGCAGUGGAGCAGUCAUGGACCUGUUAUAGAGAUCUUGGUGAAAAACUUGUCACUGCAAUUCAGUCAAAUGGGUGUUGAGAUUGAAGUUUCUGCUUUUGUUGACUUUCUGAUAAAUUACAAAAACAUCGACAAGGUUAUGUGGGAGCCUUUUAUAGAGUCCUCAUGUUUUCAGUUAAAUAUACUUCGAAAAUGUGUUUUUCAUGCACUGGAUGUAUCUCCCAGUACUGUGGUGUCGCUAAAUUCAAGCAAGCAGCUUAAUGUUAACAUAUCAGAGCCCUUCAUCGAGGAAUCAGGGCAGUGGUCUGCGGAUAGAAUUGAUGAUACUCUAGCCUUCAUCGAGGUACAUGAUCUUGGCAUACUGAAUCAGGGCAGUGGUCUGCAGAUAGAAUGUGGCUAUAUAUCUUAUCUCGAGGAGCAUCACACCUAUUUAGCUUAG